This 2784-nucleotide long non-coding RNA is filed under the name Olea europaea subsp. europaea. The record is from RNAcentral. Lineage: Eukaryota; Viridiplantae; Streptophyta; Magnoliopsida; Lamiales; Oleaceae.
UUCUGAACUAUUUUUUCAAUAAAAUGUAAAAUAAAUAAAGGGCCACAAACAGCAAAAACUAAAAUUCACAAUCCAAAAAUAAAAUUGAAAAAGAUGUCAAAAGACGAUUUUACCCCUAUUCUUUCUCCUAGAAGAACAUAACAUUCCAAUCCAAAUUCCCACUCCACACUUUUUAACCCUUGAAUUCAGGCAAGACAAGGAGGAGACCCGGAACCCUGGGAGAGGAAAAGGGUCAGAAAAAGUAUAGAAAAUGUCCAAGACGACAUCGUCGUCGGUGGUGGUGCGGCCCGAAGAUUAUGCCCACAGUCCGGUCCACUACGCCGUGGCGGUUGGCGAUCACAGCACCCUUAAUAAACUGCUUUCCUCUUUGCCCCGACUCGUUGAUCCGAACCGAAUACGGACAGAGUCUGACUCCCAAGCCCAAGAAUGUCUCGCCGAAAAAAUAUCCGCCGUCGUCGACCGCCGCGACAACAGUCUAAGGGAAACUCCAAUCCAUCUCGCUGUUCGUCUUAAUGACGCCACCGCCGCUCGCUGGCUUGCUGCUGCGGGGGCCGAUGUCUCCCUUCAGAACGCCGCAGGAUGGAACCCCCUUCAGGAAGCUCUACUUCGCCGCUGCCCGGAGAUUGUAUCUACCCUCGUUCAGCAUCAUCACCUUUCCUCCUGGUCCAAGUGGCGCCGCCGCCUUCCUCGUUUAGUUGCUGCCCUCCGCCGCAUGCGCGACUUCUACAUGGAGAUCUCCUUCCAUUUUGAGAGUUCCAUCGUGCCAUUCGUCGGAAAAAUAGCCCCCUCCGACACUUACAAAAUCUGGAAACACGAUGGCAACCUCCGAGCGGACACAUCUCUCGCCGGUUACGACGGUCUCAAAAUCCAACGUGCCAAUCAAAGUUUCCUCUUCCUCAACGACAUUGAUAGCACUCUCGAAAUCCCCGCUGGAUCCCUUCUCGUCCUUAAUCACGACGACAAAAAAAUCUUCGACGCAUUUGAAAAUGGGGGAAGCCCAUUAUCUGAUUCCGACAUUUCAAGCUUCUGUAAUCAGACCAGCGUUUACAGGCCUGGAAUGGAUGUCACGAAAGCAGAGUUAGUGGGCCGUACUAAUUGGAGACGACAGGAAAAAACAGAAAGUGUAGGGCAGUGGAAAGCGAAGGUUUACGAAAUGCACAAUAUUAUCUUUACUUUCCGGUCACGUAAAAUUAAUGCCGGAGAUAAUAGAGAAGAUCCAUUUGGGACCAACUACGUCUUGCCGUUAGAAAUUGACGAAGAGUCCGAUGAAGGGUUUAUAGUCGCUGAGAAUCCAAGAUUUAGCGUGUCUAAUGACAGGCAACGGAGGCACAGCAAUUUUGUGAGGGAGGAUAGGGAACGGAGGCACAGCAGUUUUGUGAGGGAGGAUAGGGAGUUCGUGACGGUGUCUAGGAAGAGUGUGGAUAUAAUUCCGGUGGAUGGGAGGAGAAGGGCACCGGAGAGACUAGUUGCGCCGCCGCUGACGAAAGAGAAGGAAUACGUGAAGAGCCUGCGACCAAUGGUUUGGUUAACGGAACACUUUCCAUUGAAAACGGAAGAGUUGCUGCCGUUACUUGAUAUCUUGGCAAAUAAAGUAAAGGCCGUUAGACGCAUGAGGGAGCUGUUAACGACGACGUUUCCUCUCGGGACAUUUCCGGUAAAGGUAAAGGACGAAUUUGUCAUAGACCAACUGUUUCUGAUUCAGUGAAAGCUUUACUUUGAAUUGAUUUGCUUUGCUUCAAUUUAAUUCCUUCUUUUGAUGCAUAACCAAUGUCUCUCUCUUUUAGCAACCAAGACCGUAUGAUUUGACGUGGAAGUAUCCUAUUGGUCUUUUUGUGGGCCCUUAAAAUACAAGCUUUAGGUAUAAAAAUAUGGAAAAAAAACCAUUUGUCCUAGGUGUGGGCGAAGGGGCCCCACGUCCAAUAAAUGCUUUUGGCUGACCUCCCAUGUGAGGGGGCGUGUACCCGGAGUGUACAUCUUGUAUACGUGUGGUCGAACCCUAAAAUUAUCGUGUAGUAUCUACUUUUAAUUAUUUGCAUAUGGGAAGUGUCGGGCUGGAUAGGCAGGGCUCCGAAUUGGCUCCCCCUUAAUGCUAUUUAAUAUUGUCAGUGUUUAAUAUCAGUCUAGAUGACGCAGCACACUCGACCUUAAAUUACAUGGUCAAUUAAAUACGAGGAAUUAUGAUCCAUUUAAUAUGAUUUAUGAUAUGCUGAAAUCUAGAUUGGUAUUUAACAUGAGCAUUAUUCUUGAUUUAGAGUCUUAAAAAUAGAAUUGUUUUGACUUGAUUUUAAUCAGACAGCUGAAUUAUGAUUCAGGUGGCAAUCCCUGUGGUUCCUACGGUGAGGGUGGUGAUAACUUUUACGAAGUUUGUUGAGUUGCAACCAAUUGAAAAUUUUUACACUCCACUGUCAAGUCCUAGGCAAUUUGGUGCAAGAGGAGGCAAUGAAGAGGAAAGUACGAGUAAGGAAAGUAGUUAUUCUUUGUUUUCAUCGUCCUGGUUAUCGAGCAGCAGCCGCUCGAGCAAUGGCGAUCGUGGCGGUGAGCUAUUGGAUCCAUUUACGAUACCAAGUGGAUAUGGUUGGAGUAGUUUUGAUGAGAAGAAUAGGAAAAUGAAGAAAACCAAGUCUACCAGAAAGAAAAACUAAUUCAAUGUUGUUUUACAGAUUAGAUUAUAAAUGAAUGUUGAUUAAUUGGGUAGAUAACAAUCUUAAAUUUUGAAGCAAAUUCUCCAACCGGGGAUUGAAAUGAAAAGUUACAUUAAUUAAUUUUUUGUUAUAUUAAAAUAUG